GAAAUGCGAUAAGUAGUGUGAAUUGCAGAAUUCAGUGAAUCAUCGAAUCUUUGAACGCACAUUGCGCCCCUUGGUAUUCCAUGGGGCAUGCCUGUUCGAGCGUCAUUUGUACCUUCAAGCUUUGCUUGGUGUUGGGUGUUUGUCUCGCCUCUGCGCGCAGACUCGCCUCAAAACAAUUGGCAGCCGGCGUAUUGAUUUCGGAGCGCAGUACAUCUCGCGCUUUGCACUCAUAACGACGACGUCCAAAAGGUACAUUUUUUACACUCUUGACCUCGGAUCAGGUAGGGAUACCCGCUGAACUUAAGC
RNAcentral lists this unclassified non-coding RNA (306 nucleotides) under plant metagenome. Its description in RNAcentral is "partial contains 5.8S ribosomal RNA, internal transcribed spacer 2, and large subunit ribosomal RNA". The stretch from base 1 to 105 matches the Rfam family "5.8S ribosomal RNA", at positions 50 to 154 of the family's 154-position model. The record is from RNAcentral.